Molecule: long non-coding RNA, 279 nt
Filed under: Manihot esculenta (cassava)
Lineage: Eukaryota; Viridiplantae; Streptophyta; Magnoliopsida; Malpighiales; Euphorbiaceae
Description: long non-coding RNA (MESC_LNC003242)
Source: RNAcentral
GACGUCCGAGGAUUUUGGGCGUCUCCAAACAAGUUGGAACCUAUGGGCAGAAUUGAGGAAGGAUGGGGUCCAACUGAGGAGGGAUGAGCAUGAAUCUUUGGCCUUUCUCUUGACAAUGGCUAGGUCCCCUCAAAAAGUGGAUAUUACCAAGGCAGUGAGGAAUGUUGCUUUGUCUUGGCAGAGUCAUAUCCAAGCGAGCCAGACUCGGGGUCCUAACCUACCCAGCAUUCCCAGUCUUUGUAGAGGGCACUUCCCUGGCUAGAGAUCAAGCUAUUUUUC